Long non-coding RNA from Cucumis sativus (cucumber), 631 nucleotides. RefSeq lists it as uncharacterized. The transcript has 2 exons. Lineage: Eukaryota; Viridiplantae; Streptophyta; Magnoliopsida; Cucurbitales; Cucurbitaceae. The record is from RefSeq and is a predicted model, not a curated record.
UUCAAAAUCCAAAUACUAUAUUAGCUAGUAUUCGUUGGGCUUUGGUCAUCUUGCACCCCAAUGUGGAGAAGAUAUAGGUUCAAAAUCUGAUGAUUUUGGUGAAAUACUUGGAGAAGGGAAUGCCACGAAGAUGCUUCCUUGAUCACACACGUUAGGCUUGGCACAUUAGAAAAUUUGGAAGAUCUGGACACUGACAAUAAUCAAGAACACUGGUAACAAUCAAGCUGUCUUCAUGGCCAAAACAGAAACAACUCUUACCAUACAAUCUUGGGCCACCAAUGUUCUAUCCUUCCCUUAGACCCUUGCUGAAUUUUAUUUAUUAUUCUAUUGUGUCUUAAAACUGGCUAGGCAAGGAAAUGACAUGGGCUUGUAAGAGAUGAUCACAACUAUCUUCAAUGUUAUAAGGUCUGUCGGGUGAUAACAAAAGUAAGGCUAUGUUAAUGUAAGUUCAAAAUGGACAAUGUCGUAAUUAUUGCGAUAAGUUUGCGAUGUGGAGUGGCCGACCUUGUUUUCAGAAGGAGGAAAAUGGAAUUAUCACCAAUAAUAUAUAUUUUGAUUUAGAGGGCAUGAUGGGAGCCCAAAUGUAUGCUAAAAUGGUUGGCAAAUAAAGAUAGUGAAGUUGCUUCCUUUU